Molecule: long non-coding RNA, 1291 nt
Organism: Macrobrachium nipponense
Lineage: Eukaryota; Metazoa; Arthropoda; Malacostraca; Decapoda; Palaemonidae
Exons: 5
Source: RefSeq, a predicted model, not a curated record
AACAAAUAGGAAGUAAGUGAAAGCGCCUCAGUGGCGUGAUCGGUAUGGUGUUGACCUGCCACUUCGGUGGCCGCGAGUUCGAUUCUCGGGCAUUCCAUUGAGGGGUCAGAGAUGUGCAUUUCUGGUGAUAGAAGUUCACUCUCGACGUGGUUAGGAAGUCACGUAAAGCCGUUGGUCCCGUUGCUGAAUAACCACUGGUUCCUUGCAACGUAAAAGCACCAUACAGACAAAACAAACAAACAGGAAGUAAGUGAAUGGGGUAAAAAAGGCAGAUAGUAGAAAUAGAAAGGAAAAUGUGGGCAAUAAUUUCAAGUAAAAUAAGUCAUUGUUAUUCUGCAGAGAUGCAAGUGCAGAGAGGAAGGUUAACUGAACAAAUGGAUCUCAAAUUAAAAUGUCAUUGGAAUGAUGCUCUCUGAGGAGAAUGCUCUUCUGUGUCGACUGAGUGAGAAAUUUGAAUAUUUGUGAAUGAGGUAAGACCGAAGAGGAGCAGCAGAGAUGAAAGAGAAGUGUAGAAAAGGGUGUAUUUAUGUUCAGAAUGCUUUUGGAAAUGACUUUUGAGGAAGUAAGGAAUAUAAUCAAGAGGUUGAAGACUGGAAGGACACCAAGUGUUGAUGGAAUUACCAGUGAGACAUUUCACUAAGGUGGCGAUAGUUUGAUUGAGUGGCUGACCAGCGUGUGCAAGAUGGAGAAUUAAGACAGUUCCUUCGACCUAAAGCAUUGCAGCAGACAGACUCGAAUGUGGAGGAAUUAAACCGGUUUUACUGUUAAUAACAAAGACUUGAGUAUUUGGACGAGUUGGCUGGGGUCGGAAUGGCCGUAGUUUGGCAGCAUAUUUCAGCUAUAGGGAAUUGCUUGUAAUCAGGAAACGUUUCUCAGAAGUACUCGAUUGAUUUUGGGACCACGAUGUAUUGUACCCAGGGGAAUCACAAGUGAAGAAGUUAAUGCUGUUUGUAACUUAUUUUUGAAGAUUUACCUGUGGAUUGGUUAACCUGUAUUAUAAACUGGCAGAUGUGGUUCCAAAUGUUCCUUGCCAGGAUUGUAAUGUUUGGUCUCACACCUCCAGAGUAGCUUAGGUUGGGCAGCUGCAUGUACUUCAUUUGAUUUAAAUAAUGAUAACUUACAGUAUUUGUGAGGAUUUUAUGAGCUACUUGCAGAAACAGCUGAAGGACUUACAGUGUAGAAACUCAAUGCGAAGGCCACAAUGAAGAGUAAAAAGACUACGAAGAAUCUUGCAAAAGUUGCUAGAAUGUCAGUGAACAUGACAACGUAGAUGCCAAAGAAGGGUAAUUUU